AUGUUAACGGGGGGGGGAGCGGGGGAGGGGGCGGCGGCGGGGGCGGGAGGGGGAAGGGGCCGGCGGGAGCUGCUCUCGUCGGCUCGGCGGUCGCGGCGCCCGCAGUCUGGAGGCGCACCGGAGCGGCCGGGGCGCCCCCCGCGGGAGCCCGCAGCCACCCGGGACGCGCAUCCAGCCGUGGCGCUUCGGGCCGGGCACACUGCGCCCGGGGGCUCCGCGAACCCAGCGCAGCCGCCGCUUCGGAGCUUGUGCGGCGCGGGCUGGCCAGCGGGGCGGCCAGGGCCAGGCCCGCCUCCCCAGCGCCCGCCCGGCUUCUCCCCCUGGCGGUGGGAGCUUCGGCGGCCGCCGGCGACACUAGGCGCACUGGAGCCCGAGCCGAGCCGAGCCCGAGCCGCCGCCGCCGCCGCCGCCGCUACUGCGCGCUGCUCCCGGGCUCCCUCCCAGCGCGCGGGCCGGGGUGUGGGGGGCGGCGGGCCGGAGGGGCGAGGGCGGGCCAGGGGGCGCGCUUGGGGGUUGGCGCGAAGACCGGACCCUCAGCCGCGAGGGAGCCCCUUGGUGACCAGGCAAAAUGACAGUUCUCUCCAGCUGGUUCUUAGAUGGGCAUAUCUAUUAGCCUCUGCUCUCGGAAGAAGUUAGCUGCAGAAUCCUUAUAGGACUCUGGAGAAGAUCAAAUGGGAGCUUGGAUGUGGAAGCUCUUUGGAAACCAAGAAGCACUCUGUAAAUGAAAAGG
This 730-nucleotide long non-coding RNA is filed under the name Callithrix jacchus (white-tufted-ear marmoset). RNAcentral describes it as "lncRNA (ENSCJAG00000070413.1)". The record is from RNAcentral. Lineage: Eukaryota; Metazoa; Chordata; Mammalia; Primates; Cebidae.